GUGAAUAGUACGUGAAUUUUUAUACCAGGUCGAAUAUAAGUAAUUUUAUUUUAAAUUGACUAAGAUUAAAAACUAAAACGAAGGACCGGAAAAGACCUGCUUUUUCAAGAUAAGCACGUUUCUCACAAUUCCUAUACAAGGUGAAGACCUAUAUUGGAAUAUGGCUCUGAUGUAUGGAACCCGAGUUACUAAAUCCAUUCUAACAGGUUAAGUCUACCUCCACACACUAGUCGUUCAAAACUUAUAAAUCUACCUACAAUGAACAAAAUCAUGUAUGGAAGGGUUUGCAGUUCUUUUCUCUUGUCUGAAGUUUAUACAUUUAAUAUCCCGGCUCUCUUUUCGAUGCAGUUAGACCUUUACUGUUAAAAUCAUAUAGACCAGAUUUUGAACUAAAUGAACGCUUAUGUCAUGAUUUUAAUUCUCAUUCCAGCACAUUUGAUUUAUCUG
Bactrocera oleae (olive fruit fly) is the source of this 447-nucleotide long non-coding RNA. RefSeq lists it as uncharacterized. NCBI's taxonomy places the organism in Eukaryota, Metazoa, Arthropoda, Insecta, Diptera, Tephritidae. The record is from RefSeq and is a predicted model, not a curated record.